UGGGGAAUAUUGCACAAUGGGCGAAAGCCUGAUGCAGCGACGCCGCGUGAGGGAUGACGGCCUUCGGGUUGUAAACCUCUUUCAGCAGGGACGAAGCGCAAGUGACGGUACCUGCAGAAGAAGCACCGGCUACUACGUGCCAGCAGCCGCGGUAAUACGUAGGGUGCAAGCGUUGUCCGGAAUUACUGGGCGUAAAGAGUUCGUAGGCGGUUUGUCGCGUCGUUUGUGAAAACCAGCAGCUCAACUGCUGGCUUGCAGGCGAUACGGGCAGACUUGAGUACUGCAGGGGAGACUGGAAUUCCUGGUGUAGCGGUGAAAUGCGCAGAUAUCAGGAGGAACACCGGUGGCGAAGGCGGGUCUCUGGGCAGUAACUGACGCUGAGGAACGAAAGCGUGGGUAGCGAACAGG
Molecule: ribosomal RNA, 408 nt
Filed under: bacterium
Lineage: Bacteria
Description: partial 16S ribosomal RNA
Rfam family: Bacterial small subunit ribosomal RNA
Source: RNAcentral